RNAcentral lists this ribosomal RNA (426 nucleotides) under uncultured Chamaesiphon sp. Its description in RNAcentral is "bacterial SSU rRNA". It matches the Rfam family "Bacterial small subunit ribosomal RNA", at positions 355 to 795 of the family's 1533-position model. Lineage: Bacteria; Bacillati; Cyanobacteriota; Cyanophyceae; Gomontiellales; Chamaesiphonaceae. The record is from RNAcentral.
UGGGGAAUUUUCCGCAAUGGGCGCAAGCCUGACGGAGCAAUACCGCGUGAGGGAGGAAGGCUCUUGGGUCGUAAACCUCUUUUCUCAGGGAAGAACACAAUGACGGUACCUGAGGAAUCAGCAUCGGCUAACUCCGUGCCAGCAGCCGCGGUAAUACGGAGGAUGCAAGCGUUAUCCGGAAUGAUUGGGCGUAAAGCGUCCGUAGGUGGUUAUGUAAGUCUGUGGUUAAAGCGUGGGGCUCAACCCCAUAAGGGCCAUGGAAACUACAAGACUUGAGUAAAGUAGGGGUAGAGGGAAUUCCCAGUGUAGCGGUGAAAUGCGUAGAGAUUGGGAAGAACACCGGUGGCGAAAGCGCUCUACUGGACUUAAACUGACACUGAGGGACGAAAGCUAGGGGAGCGAAAGGGAUUAGAUACCCCUGUAGUC